GGUUUCCGGGCCUCGCCUGUUCCUGCUGCAGCAGCCGCUGGCGCCCUCGGGCCUCACGCUGAAGUCCGAGGCCCUUCGCAACUGGCAAGCCACUAUGGAAGGAGGGGUCAGGAUUACAGCAGAGGAGACUGGCACACAGAGUGUUAAGUGACACCCACUCAAUCCACCCCGAAGCUGUUACACUUAAUUAACCCUCAAACUGCCCAGUGAGACUGAACCCGGUGCCUGGCUCCUACCCCACACAGAGCUGCCACCCUCACCUGUCCCCAAGCCACCCUGUGUCCCAGACACAGCAUGCCAGUGGUCAGAAGCUGGCCUCCUGGCCCUCCUGCACCCCCGGGCACAUGCCCACCUUGCCUCCGUACCAGCCUGCCUCUGGCCUGUGCUAUGUGCAGAACCACUUUGGUCCAAACCCCACCUCCUCCAGUGUCUACCCAGCUUCUGCGGGCACCUCCCUGGGCAUCCAGCCCCCCACGCCUGUGAACAGCCCUGGCACGGUGUAUUCUGGGGCCUUGGGCACACCAGGGGCUGCAGGCUCCAAGGAGUCCUCCAGGGUCCCCAUGCCCUGAGAGAAUUUCUAGGGAAGUCAUCUCACUUGGCCUUCUGAAGGUCCUCCCUAAGAUUGUCCUGACAAAAGUUACUUAUUGAACACCUCUAUGUGCCAGGCUCUGUGUUGGGUACUUUGAUCAAUGUCCCUGUUUCAGUCUCAUCUGUACUCACGGCAGCCCUGUGGAGUACGGUGUACUGGCCCAGCUUACAGAUGCAGAAAGCGAGACAUUCUGCCAUCAGAUAAAGUCACGUGG
Molecule: small RNA, 803 nt
Filed under: Pan troglodytes (chimpanzee)
Lineage: Eukaryota; Metazoa; Chordata; Mammalia; Primates; Hominidae
Description: processed transcript
Source: RNAcentral